CACCCUUGAUAACCCACUUUCUUUUCUCCCACCCAAAUUCUUGAUCAAGAGUUUUUCAAGUAAAGACAUGCUCUUCUCUCUUCUGUAUAAAACUUUACGAAAUAAAGGCAAAAGAUUGUGUACAUCUUGCUGGAAAAUGCUGCCCAGGGCUCUGGAGACGGUGGCUGCCCGGGCUCCCUUCACUGUCCAGGUCCUGAAAGACUCUUGUUCAUGAACUGUCUCUUCACAAAGCAAGUCCACCACUUGCUGGGUUUAUCAUUCUGAGGGUCGAAAACUUUCUCACAAAGUCUCAGUCCAGUCUCUUGCCUUAGCUGUUGUAAAUAGGCUCUCAUCACUUCAUCUUCCUGUUUGUUUGCAGGUUUGGCAUAAAUUGCGUUAAGUGGAAAACCAGGCUCUCCAGGAAUGGGAAAAUUAGUGAUUCCCAGCGUAUACAUUUCUUUCUCACCUUGGCUUUUGGAAUUGCACUUUUGCAGUUUCUUCAGACAUUCAGAAAUGUAGAGAGUUAUAUAUAUCAAGGUCCUAUCAGCUUCAUUCUUAAUUUCAUAGUUUUUGAAGAAGACAUUGGCCUUGAAGUAAUAGAUGGCUUCAUCCACAAUAUCUGUAUCUUUUGUCUCUCUGGGGGCAGGUCCUUUGAAUUGACUUCUGAUAGGCAACAGUGCCAUGUUUCCGAUGAGUUUGGUAUCAGGAUCCAUGAGAGAAGAGUGGUAAGCCGGCAUCUUGGCGGCGCCCGGGUUUCAACCCAGAGGAGCAGGAUCCAGGUACAGCGGAGCGCUUCCGGUCUGGCAGCCUGGGCGAGGUCUUCUCCAUAUUGAAUGGCAAAAUCAAUAUGCUGCAAUACAAUGUUCAUGCUUUCUUCAUCUG
This 861-nucleotide long non-coding RNA is filed under the name Homo sapiens (human). RNAcentral's name for it is "LNC_000868". The record is from RNAcentral. Lineage: Eukaryota; Metazoa; Chordata; Mammalia; Primates; Hominidae.